Molecule: ribosomal RNA, 609 nt
Filed under: uncultured bacterium
Lineage: Bacteria
Description: bacterial SSU rRNA
Rfam family: Bacterial small subunit ribosomal RNA
Source: RNAcentral
CCUACGGGAGGCAGCAGUAGGGAAUAUUGGGCAAUGGGCGGAAGCCUGACCCAGCCACGCCGCGUGCAGGAAGACGGCCCUCUGGGUUGUAAACUGCUUUUAACUGGGAAGAAAAGAGGCCUUGCGAGGCAAGUUGACGGUACCAGUUGAAUAAGCCACGGCUAACUACGUGCCAGCAGCCGCGGUAAUACGUAGGUGGCAAGCGUUAUCCGGAUUUAUUGGGUUUAAAGGGAGCGUAGGCGGCUGAUUAAGUCAGCGGUGAAAGGUAGCAGCUUAACUGUUUUACAUGCCGUUGAUACUGGUUAGCUUGAGUUGACAGAAGGCAGAUAGAAUUCCUGAUGUAGCGGUGAAAUGCUUAGAUAUCAGGAGGAAUACCGAUUGCGAAGGCAGUCUGCUGCAGUCACACUGACGCUGAGGCUCGAAGGUGCGGGGAUCAAACAGGAUUAGAUACCCUGGUAGUCCGCACAGUAAACGAUGAUUACUAGAUGUUGGCCAAGCCAGUGUCCAAGGGAAACCGAUAAGUAAUCACCUGGGGAGUACGCCGGCAACGGUGAAACUCAAAUGAAAUUGACGGCGNGAGAGUGACGACGACGACGACGAGGGAGGAGG